RNAcentral lists this ribosomal RNA (463 nucleotides) under uncultured bacterium. RNAcentral describes it as "SSU rRNA". It matches the Rfam family "Bacterial small subunit ribosomal RNA", at positions 26 to 518 of the family's 1533-position model. The record is from RNAcentral.
AGCCUGAACGCUGGCGGCGUGGCUAAGACAUGCAAGUCGUACGGUGUAGCAAUACACAGUGGCGAACGGGUGAGUAAUGAAUCGCUAACGUGCCCCGGACUUCGGGAUAGCUAUCCGAAAGGGUAGGUAAUACCGGGUGAUAUACCCUUUCCGCAUGGAAGGGGUCUCAAAGGUCCGCCGGUCUGGGAGCGGGCGAGUUUCGUAAGUCAGCUAGUUGGUGAGGUAACGGCUCACCAAGGCGACGACGCGUAGCCGGACUGAGAGGUUGGCCGGCCACAUUGGGACUGAGACACUGCCCAGACUCCUACGGGGGGCUGCAGUGGGGAAUAUUGGACAAUGGGCGCAAGCCUGAUCCAGCCAUGCCGCGUGGGUGAUGAAGGCCCUAGGGUUGUAAAGCCCUUUCGGCGGGAAGAUAAUGACGGUACCGCAGAAGAAGCCCGGCUAACUUCGUGCCAGCAGCCGC